This 253-nucleotide ribosomal RNA is filed under the name uncultured bacterium. RNAcentral's name for it is "partial 16S ribosomal RNA". It matches the Rfam family "Bacterial small subunit ribosomal RNA", at positions 524 to 776 of the family's 1533-position model. The record is from RNAcentral.
GACGUAGGGCGCGAGCGUUGUCCGGAUUUAUUGGGCGUAAAGAGCGUGUAGGCGGCUUGGCAAGUCCGCUGUGAAAACUCGAGGCUUAACCUCGAGACGUCGGUGGAAACUGCCUGGCUAGAGUCCGGAAGAGGAGUGUGGAAUUCCUGGUGUAGCGGUGAAAUGCGCAGAUAUCAGGAAGAACACCUAUGGCGAAGGCAGCACUCUGGGACGGUACUGACGCUGAGACGCGAAAGCGUGGGGAGCGAACAGG